This 467-nucleotide ribosomal RNA is filed under the name uncultured bacterium. Its description in RNAcentral is "partial 16S ribosomal RNA". It matches the Rfam family "Bacterial small subunit ribosomal RNA", at positions 28 to 507 of the family's 1533-position model. The record is from RNAcentral.
GACGAACGCUGGCGGCGUGCUUAACACAUGCAAGUCGAACGGUGAAGCUCCAGCUUGCUGGAGUGGAUCAGUGGCGAACGGGUGAGUAAACGUGAGCAACCUGCCCCUGACUCUGGAAUAAGCGCUGGAAACGGCGUCUAAUACUGGAUACGAGAAGGGUCCGCAUGGGCACUUUCUGGAAAGUUUUUCGGUUGGGGAUGGGCUCGCGGCCUAUCAGCUUGUUGGUGAGGUAAUGGCUCACCAAGGCGACGACGGGUAGCCGGCCUGAGAGGGCGACCGGCCACACUGGGACUGAGACACGGCCCAGACUCCUACGGGAGGCAGCAGUGGGGAAUAUUGCACAAUGGGCGAAAGCCUGAUGCAGCGACGCCGCGUGAGGGAUGACGGCCUUCGGGUUGUAAACCUCUUUCAGCAGGGAAGAAGCGAAAGUGACGGUACCUGCAGAAGAAGCACCGGCUAACUACGUG